Molecule: long non-coding RNA, 5811 nt
Organism: Corvus hawaiiensis (hawaiian crow)
Lineage: Eukaryota; Metazoa; Chordata; Aves; Passeriformes; Corvidae
Exons: 9
Source: RefSeq, a predicted model, not a curated record
GCCGCUCCCCCCGCUCCGCACCCGCGGAGCCCCCGCGCACCUGGGGGAGCGCCGGCACCGCGCUGCUUUCCCCGGGGAGGGAGAACCGAGCGUCCGUUUCGCCGCACCCCCGGAUGAAAUACUACACAGUCACUGAAGCAGAGAGAAGACAUCUUCCUUCACCCUGACAUACUGAGGCACGAAGAACGAUGCUGAAAGCCAAGGUUUCUGAUUUGACCCUCCUCCUUAGAGCUUCUGAACGUGAAGAUUCCCGACUCACAGAAGCUGUCUGCUCGUGGCAGGCAAAAUUAUCAUUCCUUGCACUCACAGCUGAGGGUUUUGACGGGGUUGGUGACCAGCUCUAGCACAGCACAGCUCCUUCUCAUUUUCCUUCUACCUCUCCUUCUCCCUCAUCGCCAGCUUGAAACCGGGAAUGGGUGAGACUUCUGCUUCCCUCCUAAUGAGGUUUUCUGUGACUCUCUCAUGUCCUGCUGCUGCAGCCAACGUGGGUCCAAAUGCCGUGGCUACAAAGGCUUGUUACUGUCUCAUGCUGGGUCCCUCAAAUCCAAGAGCUACUUGGCAGUUUCCAAGGCAACCACCUGUGGAAUAAUUAAAAAGGAUGAAGUGCUAUCGUGCCAGAUAUAAGGGAUUCCUGCCUGGAGAGAGCGUUUCACUUUCAUCUGUCUUGAAGAAUCAAACGUGCUUCUGCCAGCAAAGUUAAGAAAAAGAAGCGGUGGCUGAGUUGCACAAGUGAACCAGGAUGACACAAAAUGUGCUGAUCUCAUGAGGGUAUCUUGCAUAUGCCAGAGGAAGAACACGUUGUGUGAGGGAAAAACCUGCUUACAAAUCUGUGCAAAUUGAAAGAGAAUCAUAGAAUCACAGAAUGGUUUGGGCUGGAAGGGACCUUCAAGACCAUCUUGCUCCAACCCUCUGCCGUGUGAUGGGACACCUUCCACGAUCCCAGGUUGCUCGAUGCCCCAUCCAGCUUCUUUGCUUCUUCAGCAUAACAAGGAAAGGUUCUAAAGUGUUUUGUUUCACUCUGAAAAUAUUUCUGGCUUGGGUUUCGGGUUUUUUUUGCAGUGUCAUAUGGGAUGGGAGGAGUACGGACUAUCUGUCUUUGACUGAAAGGUCCUCUGCAGUGUGUUUGUGAGGCGUGGGAAUUGAGCUGGGGUUAAAACUUGAAGUGGUCUGAUUGAACUUCCUAUCUUUCUUAAUUGUUAUCGUCUUUCUGUGUGAUAAUUUUAACUUCACUUCCUCUUGGGUAAUUGUGAAGAAGUCCGUGUUAUAUCCGGCAAAGAAAACACAGACUAAUAAAUGUUUUUGUGCGUUUAUCGUUAUUUUUUAAAGAUACUUAAGAGCAGUUCUUUUCAGGCUACUUUUCAUGCUUUGACAGACGAAGUGCCAUGAUGAUGUGUGAAGCAGCACAAAUUAAUCCAGUGUGGAGAUAAGCAGAGCAGCAGUGGCAUGAGCCGGUGCCUGGUUUUGAGAGCUCACUUUGUAGGGACAGAAGUGGCUGUGAUCCAGCUCAUGGCACGAGGAUACAAACAGCAGGUGUAGCUUUGGAGUGCUUGAUGACGAGGGCAUUUCUGCUCAGGGGUGGGAUUAGAGCUGCUAUUGAAACUUGUAUAACAGCCAUGGUGCCAGGGUGGUUGCUAAAAAUGAUGCUCAUCUCUCUUAUGUCCCAAAAGCUGUAAGUCAGAAGAACUAUUUUAAGCUGAGGAAAUAUUUUGGGUUUUAUUCUUAAUGGUCAUUGGUUUUUUUCCCAGACCCCAAUGAGAUGAUUUUAAAUGUGUAAGGCAGCAGUGGGAAUGAAAAUAAGUGUUUUUAUAAUGUAAGACAUGGACAAUCAAUAGUGAGUUUUGUUGUGGGUGGCUGCUUCAUUAUCAUACCCUCAUUAACGUACCUCAGCAAUCAACAGGAAUCACAUUUUUUUAUUACAGCUGUUCUGUCCAGUUCCUAAAAGAAAGCAUCAGCUGCUUUUUUCCAGCAAAUGGUGGUGCAUUUGGGAAAAAAACCCCACUAUUUUCCUGCCUCUGCUGCCCCAAAGGUUGGUGUUUUGCAGAAGGAGCAGUCAGCUGCUAUGGUGAUGGGCGCAGGGUGGAAAUGUGGACAGAAAUAGAGGGAGGCUGAAGCCAGACUGUUCCUGCUUCCUUAUGGUCUCAGUAGCCCUCUCCGAAUUGGAUAGUAACUGAUUCCAAGGAUUUCGCAGGUUAUUUGUGGUUUUCUGCCUCAGAUUCUCACAAUUAGCACAAAAUAAUACUCGGGCAAAAAGGAGAGUGAGAUUCUCAAAUGGAUAAUGUUUGUACAGGAUGCAUGUAAUUCCCUGCAGAGCAGCUUGUGCCCGUUGUGCUGGGAUUUGGAUGCUCAGAAAUCUCCCUCCUCCCAUCCAGACUGAAGUCAGUUUUUGGAUUUCCUUCCCUGCUAAUCCCCAAAAUCAGCCUGAAGAGAUUUCAAAACAGAGUUCAGAGUAAAUCUGAGACAACUUUUACGUCAAGGAUGUUGUUCUGUGCAGCAGGUGAUUCUCUGGCACCUGCUAUUUAUGGAUUCUGCCUCCACAAAGAAUUAUUUCCCUGUGGCACCAUUGCCACAGUCAGUGCAGAAGUGGACUGCAGCUUGAGGCAUUUUACCAGGUUUGGAUAUACCUUAGGAUACAUCUCAUAAGGUGUGCUUACACGUACACUUUGUUAUGAAACAAAGACAGCAGGGUUUUUUUGGUGAAUUUCAGAGCUCUAAUCCAAAAUUACUCUUUCCAUAGGGACCAUGAUGCCUGGACUUCAUGAUGGACUUAGACACUAAAGUGGCACACCUCGAUUGCCUGUUCUGACUGUAAAUGCCAUCACACAAGUACAGAUUGUGAGGAGUCAUAACAUGGUUAAAAGUGUAAAACCUGGAGAAAGAGAAAAUUUAGUCUCAAGUUGUGUUUUAAUUCAUCUCUUUGCAGAACAACACAGAGGGGACUAAUUCAAACAGCUUCUGGUGUUUUUUUCUUCCAGAUUCUGAGGACAAACCUGUCAGUAAUGAAUUGUUCCACGGAUAAAGCUGUAAAUGGUGGAGACUGUUUUUUCUCAGGAAUUCUGCAGGAAUUCAUCAGUGGAAGAGAAAGGGCUCCCUGUUCAGCGAGGAAAUUACCCUCAGCUCUUCCGAUCUUUAAAUCUGGGAAGGAUGGAGCAGUCCAAGAUUUGAAAAUGUUUUAAAACUUCGAGCACCUAAUUAGAAGGAGGCAUCUUGGAGCAGCACAAUAGCUCUCUAUCUGCAGUUCAUUUGGUUUUCCAAUUUAGAAAUGACAGUUUACAGCCCUGGUGCGAGCGUGUUUCUCAUUAGCCUGUUCUAGAAACACACAGAGUUAUUACAAGUUUUGAAAGAUGCUUUCUUCAAAAGUGCAAAUGAUAUUAAAUGGCAGAAUUUGCUCUCUGGAUAGCCAGAUGGAGAUGCUGUGGUCUACAGCCGUCCUGAGGCUGGUGGUAAAGGCAGAGCCACGCACCUGGACCUUGGCUUCAAAUCCGUGGAUGUCAUGGAUACACAACUUCAUGGAAGAGAUGCUGCAGCAGGAAUUAGCCUUGUCCAGGGGAGACACUUGCCACUGCUUUCCUUGUCUCACAGAUGGAUCUCAGGUUUCUUGGGCUUUUCUCAUGAAGAUUUUCUUGGAGAGGAUUAUGUUAGCUGUGCUGCUGACAGAUUCCCAUGUGAGAACUGUCCACACUGGUUUGAUUUCCCUCCUUCAGCCAUCUAGGAGUUGGAUUCCUAGUCUGAGCUGGUUGGAUUUGUUGUCCUUGCGGUAAAUGAAGAGAGAGCUGCAUCUUGGCAGGUGAUGAAACUUGAGGAACAGAUGUAAUUAGUUGGGGGUUUUUUUUACGUGGUUUUCUGCCCCCUGAAGAGAAGGAGAUUGAGAGAUUUGCCUGUCAUCAGGACUCCACAGAUGGGUUCAUCUUGCAUGGUGGUUUAGGAUCUGGAAUGUCAGUUCUACUAAGGACUGGCUGAGGGUUGAAAAGGAGACUCAGGGAAGACCUUAUUUACCUGAAGACCUACAUUUACCUGAGACAAGGUUGUGAUGAGGUGGGGAGCCUUUUCUCCCAGAUAACAAGUGACAGGACAAUGGCAAAUAGCCUCGAGUCUCGGCAGAGGUUCGGGUUGGAUAUUAGGAAAAAUUUCUUCACUGAAAGAGUGGUUUAAGCGUUGGAACAGGCUGAGGGCAGUGGUGGUGUCACCAUGCCUGGAAGUGUUCAGAAAACAGCUGGAUCUGGCACUUCAUGAUAUGGUUUAGUGGGCAUGGUGGUAUUAAAUCAAAGGUUGGACUCAGUGGUCUUGGAGGUCUUCUCCAACCUCAGUGGUUCUGUGGUUCUAAUCAACUAAAAUCAGCUUUCACAGGACUUCCAGAGGCAGGAACAGAGCACACCCAGGAGUAAUAAACUGAAGGAGGGAAAUAAUAAAGAUACUGCAGUCUUCUUGAAAACAGUGCAGCAAGGCAAAAUUUUGGACUUCUGCAUGGCUGAAGGAAAAAGAGUUUGGUUCUGCCUGCACUUCAAAGCAGCUUUAUUUCACCCAUUAAUGUUCUGUGAGCCUGUGUGGAAGAUUCCCAGGCAGCUGCGUGCUCGGGGUAGAGCCCGGGGACACGGGCACAGCUCCGUCCUGCUGCUUCCUGCCUGCUCUGCUCCACACAGGCACUUUCUGGACAGAAAAGCUGCACAAUAAAUCCAGUGCUGAUGUGGCCUGGCAUGGUGACAGCUCUUCCAGUAACUGCAGGAACUGCCCGCUUGCGGAGGCCCAGCCUGCUCCGAUGGGUUGUUUCCCUUAAAACUCUGUUGUUCUACACCGGAUGGGGCACGCGGUGUCUUUGUGCCUUCUCUGCCAUGCAGGCACUUUGUGGUGCCUUCUGUGCCACUGCCCGGGGUGAUUUGCUCUUUCCAAGAGACUGUCAUGUACCUGAGUGCUUCCCAGAACAUGUCAGCGAGAGUGGGGCUGUGCAAACACUCAGGACUUGCUCGACAUCGCUCUGCAGAUGGGCUUCGGGUCUGAUGUUUGUUCUGCCAGCUGAGAUGAGGAGCUGCAGAGAGGUUAUGAAAUGAAAAAAAAAAAUCUGUUUGAAAGGGAGUAAAUUGUCUAGAACGCACUUCAGUAGCAGAUUUCUAGGAAAGAACCCUGUGUCAGACUUCUAAGAAGCAGUGCUGUCUCCAGGUGCCAAGUGCCAGGUCUGAAUAGCCCGUAAUCAAUGCAGUCCUUAACGUUAGUUUUGGAGACAAACUUUUCCCCCAGUUUGCAAAUCCCACCUCAGCCAGAGCUAGCUGACAGGUGGGCAGGUUUCCAGGCUUUCUGCGUGGCCUUUGGGAUGAAUAUUCAGCUUUUAGGCACUGAUAUGUAGCGUGUGUCACACACUGGUCCUUGUGCUGCUGCUGUUGAAAGGAAGAUUUGGUAACACCUUACAUGUUCUGCUGUCACAAGAGGGAGUUUUGCAGCAGUGCUGCCCGUGCUGGUGUGUCUGGAUGUAGUCGUGCUGUGGGCAGAGCUCAGCAGACAGACUGUGUUAAUAGGAGACAGCAGCACAAGUAGGAUGAAGGUCCUUCAUUCCUUGUUAAAGCCUUGUACAUGUUGUUCAAGCUUGACUAACAAAAUUCCUCGGAGUGACACUGCUGCAAGCAAUUCUCUUGCUGUUGGUAGCGCUGUAAUAGAAAACAGAAGUGAACAUUUGAGUGACUCAAACCAAAAUCAAGGGUAAGAAUAAGAAAAAAGCAUCAACUGUUUAACAGGAAAAAUAAAAACCCAACGUGGCUAGGUAUUCUUCUGUGGCAUUUCCAAUUUAUUGUUACAGGAAUAUCCUCUCAGCUAGACACAAGCUCC